AACCUAGCACACCUGCGGUGUGUACCUGCGGAGGGAUCAUUACAGAGUUAUCCAACUCCCAAACCCAUGUGAACUUAUCUCUUUGUUGCCUCGGCGCAAGCUACCCGGGACCUCGCGCCCCGGGCGGCCCGCCGGCGGACAAACCAAAACUCUUGUUAUCUUAGUUGAUUAUCUGAGUGUCUUAUUUAAUAAGUCAAAACUUUCAACAACGGAUCU
This 216-nucleotide unclassified non-coding RNA is filed under the name soil metagenome. Its description in RNAcentral is "partial contains 5.8S ribosomal RNA, internal transcribed spacer 2, and large subunit ribosomal RNA". The record is from RNAcentral.